Molecule: non-coding RNA, 261 nt
Organism: Loxodonta africana (African savanna elephant)
Lineage: Eukaryota; Metazoa; Chordata; Mammalia; Proboscidea; Elephantidae
Source: Rfam
GGAAAGGCGGCGUUAUUAUUUCCGAGGACAAUGUCUGGAGGAGUCACAUACCUUUAGGCAUUUUUCCUCUGAUGUCCAAUUGCCAUGACCAUCUGAGGAGGUAAAAAAUCUUUGAGGCAGUUACCAGGACUCUUUAUGGGUCUCUGUGAUAUCAUUUACUGAUACCAUAGGCUGGGUGACUUCUCCAGACAUCCUCACAUUCUUCCAAUUCUACUGGGUACACACUAGUUACUUAGGGAGAAUGUUAAGAGCUACAGAGAA